RNAcentral lists this transfer RNA (63 nucleotides) under Anolis calimae. RNAcentral describes it as "tRNA-Cys". The record is from RNAcentral. Lineage: Eukaryota; Metazoa; Chordata; Lepidosauria; Squamata; Anolidae.
AGCCCCGGAGCCUAUUAGGGCUCUUCUUUAAAUUUGCAUUUUAAUGUGAGACACCCCAGGACU